RNAcentral lists this ribosomal RNA (599 nucleotides) under Listeria monocytogenes. Its description in RNAcentral is "partial 23S ribosomal RNA". It matches the Rfam family "Bacterial large subunit ribosomal RNA", at positions 607 to 1204 of the family's 2925-position model. The record is from RNAcentral. Lineage: Bacteria; Bacillati; Bacillota; Bacilli; Caryophanales; Listeriaceae.
UUUGUAGAAUGAACCGGCGAGUUACGAUUUGUUGCAAGGUUAAGCGGAAAAAGCGGAGCCGUAGCGAAAGCGAGUCUGAAUAGGGCGCAUAAGUAACAGGUCGUAGACCCGAAACCAGGUGAUCUACCCAUGUCCAGGAUGAAGGUAAGGUAAUACUUACUGGAGGUCCGAACCCACGCACGUUGAAAAGUGCGGGGAUGAGGUGUGGGUAGCGGAGAAAUUCCAAUCGAACUUGGAGAUAGCUGGUUCUCUCCGAAAUAGCUUUAGGGCUAGCCUCGAGGUAAAGAGUCAUGGAGGUAGAGCACUGUUUGGACUAGGGGCCCUUCUCGGGUUACCGAAUUCAGAUAAACUCCGAAUGCCAUGUACUUAUACUCGGGAGUCAGACUGCGAGUGAUAAGAUCCGUAGUCGAAAGGGAAACAGCCCAGACCACCAGUUAAGGUCCCCAAAUAUAUGUUAAGUGGAAAAGGAUGUGGGGUUGCUUAGACAACCAGGAUGUUGGCUUAGAAGCAGCCACCAUUGAAAGAGUGCGUAAUAGCUCACUGGUCGAGUGACCCCGCGCCGAAAAUGUACCGGGGCUAAACAUAUUACCGAAACUGUG